CUACACGAGUUUGAUCAUGGCUCAGGAUCAACGGCUGGCGGCGUGCCUAAUGCAUGCAAGUCGAACGGGCCGCUUUCGGGCGGCUUACGUGGCGGACGGGUGAGGAACACGUGGGCAAUCUGGCCCGAGGUGGGGGUAGCCCUCGGAAACGGGGGGUAAUUCCGCAUGGGUCCAUCUCCUGGUGGGGGAGGUGGGCAAAGGGACUUCGGUCUCGCCUUGGGGGGAGCCUGCGGCCGAUUAGCUAGUAGGUGGGGUAACGGCUCACCUAGGCGACGAUCCCUAGCUGGUCUGAGAGGAUGACCAGCCACACUGGAACUGAGACACGGUCCAGACUCCUACGGGAGGCAGCAGUGGGGAAUAUUGCACAAUGGGCGCAAGCCUGAUGCAGCCAUGCCGCGUGUAUGAAGAAGGCCUUCGGGUUGUAAAGUACUUUCAGCGGGGAGGAAGGGAGUAAAGUUAAUACCUUUGCUCAUUGACGUUACCCGCAGAAGAAGCACCGGCUAACUCCGUG
RNAcentral lists this ribosomal RNA (511 nucleotides) under uncultured bacterium. RNAcentral's name for it is "bacterial SSU rRNA". It matches the Rfam family "Bacterial small subunit ribosomal RNA", at positions 1 to 507 of the family's 1533-position model. The record is from RNAcentral.